UGGGCGAAAGCCUGACGCAGCGACGUCGCGUGGGGGAUGAAGGCCUUCGGGUUGUAAACCCCUUUCAGCAGGGACGAAGCGAAAGUGACGGUACCUGCAGAAGAAGCGCCGGCUAACUACGUGCCAGCAGCCGCGGUAACACGUAGGGCGCAAGCGUUGUCCGGAAUUAUUGGGCGUAAAGAGCUCGUAGGCGGUCUGUUGCGUCCGCUGUGAAAACUCGGGGCUUAACCCCGAGCCUGCAGUGGAUACGGGCAGACUAGAGGUAGGUAGGGGAGAAUGGAAUUCCUGGUGUAGCGGUGAAAUGCGCAGAUAUCAGGAGGAACACCGGUGGCGAAGGCGGUUCUCUGGGCCUUACCUGACGCUGAGGAGCGAAAGCGUGGGGAGCGAACAGGAUUAGAUACCCUGGUAGUCCACGCCGUAAACGAUGAAUGCCAGCCGUUAGUGGGUUUACUCACUAGUGGCGCAGCUAACGCUUUAAGCAUUCCGCCUGGGGAGUAC
RNAcentral lists this ribosomal RNA (498 nucleotides) under uncultured bacterium. RNAcentral's name for it is "bacterial SSU rRNA". It matches the Rfam family "Bacterial small subunit ribosomal RNA", at positions 372 to 883 of the family's 1533-position model. The record is from RNAcentral.